This 3591-nucleotide long non-coding RNA is filed under the name Homo sapiens (human). RNAcentral describes it as "HSALNT0011203". Lineage: Eukaryota; Metazoa; Chordata; Mammalia; Primates; Hominidae. The record is from RNAcentral.
CUCCUGCCUCAGCCUCCGGAGUAGCUGGGACUACAGGCGCCCGCCACCACGCCUGGCCAAUUUUUUUGUAUUUUUUUAGUAGAGACGGGGUUUCACCGUGUUAGCCAGGAUAGUCUUGAUCUUCUGACCUCGUGAGCCGCCUGUCUCAGCCUCCCAAAGGGCUGGGAUUACAGGCGUGAGCCACCGCGCCCGGCCGAUUUACCACUCUUGAUGUUCACCACCUGGCUGAGAAUGUUAGAAACCAAGAUCAAGAGCUUGAUGUGCUUGUUGAUACUGGAGUGUCAUUGAUUCUUGGCCCUGUCAACUGACCAGAUCAAGGAACUACAUGUGUAUAAGCUAAGGCCUGCCUCUCCCACACAAUUUUUUGAUGACCUUCACUUGGAAUGGCCAGAACCAGCUAAUGCAAACCCUGCUGAACCUACAGUAGAAGUUGCUCCUCUCCUCCCCGGCCUCAGUCUCCACCCACUCACAAAAGAAGGCUUUCCAGUCUCCAUUCUAGGACUUAGCCUUAUAACACAUAUUACAAGUAAAGUUCCCACUUGCCUCCAGCAGAAAAGUCACAUCAUGUAUCACAUCUUCUUGCACAUGACAGGAUUUUUGUCGUGACUUUCCUAAAUUCUCACUGUGCCAAGCAAGCAAGAAAGUGCCCACAGGAGUGGGAGGGAAAAGACACAUGGGAUGGCAGCAAGGAAACCUGCCUAGAGGAGCCAGCCAUCCCGUCUGUCCCCUCACUUCCUUCCAGAGAGAACGUCUUUCCUUGACAGCGCCUGCCUCCUGUCAUUUCAUCCCAACACUUUGCCCAGCCCGGGAAAUCUGGAUUUUCUUUUUAAAGAAAGAUGUCUAGAGAGAAAAAUAGAAAAUGAACAGCCAAUAGAAAGUGCAACAGAGCUUGUUGAUUUGGUUCUGUCAGAUGCCCCAAGUGUUCGUGGUAAGCUGGAAAACUCUCCAUCCACUAGAGGCAGCCACAGCUCGGGAUGCUGAUAAAGUUCUGACACAGGGAGUGAGUGAUGAGUGGUGUGUAAAAGUUCUGACACAGGGAGUGAGUGAUGAGUGGUGUGUAACGUGCUGAAAACAGGAAGCUCUGACAACAAUGUGAAGAGGAACCUUCUGAACACAAAUUCUAUGGCUCCAAAUAAGCAAGUUAAUAGUCCUGAUAUCUUGACUUGAUCUACAGAAGAAACCCCACUCAGGAUAACUUUUACUUUUCUGGUGGAAGAGACAAUAAGAAUAAAGACUCACUAAACGGUAAUAAAAUCCUCUUUGACUUACUAAUUGGUUGGUAAUUUUGAAAUUUUCUAAUCUGAAUGUUUAACUCCAAAUAGUUUUCAUCCUGUCAUAUGUUACAGUAUUAACAGUUAUAGAAAAAGAACAGGAAUUAUUAGAAACAUUAAAACUAUUCAAAUCUAGGAAAUGUGGAUCUUAGGAUUUGUGUCAGGAAACCAACAACCUUAGGAUGUGCCCCACAGUUGGCUUUCCUGAACCGUGAUCCCAGAAUGCAAGAAGUCAACCCAAUACAAAUCCAUGCUUUCUGACAAUGGCAGAAAAUUUUUUGGCCAUUGUCCAUUGACUGACUCACAAGCUGUGACAAUGUCCCACCAUUACACUCCACCGACUCCCCCGCAAGGCUGUCACCUGUCUUUACCUGCAGCAGCUGCAUAUAUGCACACAUUUAAUAACACUUAGUGGGGGCAUGUUCUGUUCUAGAAACGGUGCCUGCUCCAAAGAUACGGUGGUGAACAAAAUAAAAAUGCUCCCUGUCUCUAUGGAACUCAGAGUCUAGCAGAAGACAAAGACACAAUGUGAAAUACACAUUUCAAUAAGUGCUAUGAAAGAUAGGUUGUACAGUGAUAUGAAAGGGAAUAACAAAGGGAUGCAAAAGAGUUAUGAAAGGCCUCUCUGAGGAAGUCAUGUUUAAGCUGAAAGGUGAAGGUUGCCUAUAAGAAGGUCAGGCAAAAGACAGGGUGUGUGAGUGGGGAAACAUUCUAGGCAGAGGUAACAGCAUAUGCAAGACCCCAUGGAAGAUUAGAAAAAGGAAACAGCACCAAGAUAUGACCUAUUUUCCUUAGAUGACUGAGGGAAUUCAAAUUCAAUGAAUACCUUCUUUAUCUUAAAAGCUAAAGCCUUUACAUUUAUUAUAAAUAGGGAUUUCUAUAAAUCCUGUCAACUCCCACUUAUCCUGUAUUCUCAAUCCUGUAUUUAUUCACCAACAUCUUUGAGCUGUUUUCUCUGGCCUUAUCCUUAUUCUUUCUAAGGUAUAUCUAUCUUUUUUAGCAACCCCGAUAAUUAGAUAGGAUAAUCUGUUGAGAUAUUAAUUUGUGAUUUGUAUUUCUGAUUUGUGCUAUAGAAGACUUGAAGGAUUAGAAGGGACUUUCCUCCUACUUCCUUCACUGGAAAGACAACCAGGCCUUUAUCUUCUAAGAUCUUUUUUCUAUUUUCAAGCAAUUAACAGUUUAUUUUUGUAUCAGAACAUCCUGUCCCAUCCCUCAAGAUCUGUUGCGCAAAAUGUAGGCCCAUCGGGAGGAAGAAAGUUGAGGAGAGGGGUGAUUUGCCUUGCUGGCAACUUAUUGACAUGUCUUUGCCAUGCUCCUACUCAGGAAAUUAGAUCCCAUGACCUAUAAAAUUCAGUCAAAACUGCAGCUAAACUCACACCCUCUGCUAUAUUGGACCUGAAGUCUCUGCAGCCAUUCUCCUCUAUUGCCACAUUCAUCCCCCGUACCAAGUCGUACCCCAUCAAUUCUGCCUGUCCCAUAAUUCAUCUCAAGCUUAUUUUCUUCUAUGCUGUUUCCCUUUCCCACUUUUUAAUUUCACCCUUAUUUUAAUCUCUCAUUUUCCUGUUGUUUCAUAGUGAAACCACUUUGCAAAAUUAUAACUGAGGAAACUAUGACAGUGAAAGACAUCAGACCUAACUGAUUCCAUCUUGCUUCUAACGUUUAAGCUGUCCUUGUUCUUUCCUGGGCAUAGGCCAAACUAACUUUGGGAAGGAAUUCAGUUCAUGGUUUGACUCUGAAACAAAUUGGAACCAGCCCUUUCCUGAAAAACCCCGUUUCUUCCUUGGAGACCAGUCUGCCUUUGCAGGACUAACAACUUAGCUACAACAUUAGAAAUCACAGUUUAGGGGUCAUGCAGUCUCUGGUUCCAAGAGUUUGAACCUCCCGAAAUUGCUCCUGGGGAUAAUAUCGGUAUUGUGAAACCUAAGAUCAGUGCUUAAGACCCUGCACUGGAUGGAUCAGCUGACACCACCCAGAGUGGUAAUCUGGCUCAACCAGUUCUGCCAUCCCUCCCAAGAACAGAAAACAGCAAAAAACAAACAAACAAACAAACAAACAAAAAAAACUCACUUCGACUCCCACUGCCCCCCAUGAUUCCAUCUCCAACCUGACCAAUCAGCACUCCCCACUUCCCAAGCCCCUACCUGCCAAAUUAUCUUUAAAAACACUUAUCAUCAAAUGGCUCAGGGAGAAUGAUUUGAGUAAUAAUAAAACUCUGGUCUCCCGCACAGCUGGCUCUUCCUGAUUUACUCUUUCUCCAUUGCAAUUCCCCUGUCUUGAUAAAUCGGCUCUGUCUAGGCUGCGGGCAAGGUGAACCCAUUGG